CAGAAGGGAGUGGAAUUCCCGCGUGAAGCAGUGAAAUGCGUAGAUAUGCCGAAGGAACACAGAUGGCGAAGGCAAACUCCCUGGGCCUGCACUGACGCUCAAGCACGAAAAGCGUGGGGAAGCAAACAGGAUUAGAUACCCUGGUAGUCCACGCCCUAAACGAUGUCGACUAGUUGUUGGACGGGUUACUGUUCAGUAACGUAGCUAACGCGUGAAAGUCGACCGCCUGGGGAGUACGGCCGCAAGGUUAAAACUCAAAGGAAUUGACGGGGACCCGCACAAGCGGUGGGAUGAUGUGGUUUAAUUCGAUGCAACGCGAAAAACCUUACCUACCCUUGACAUGCCAGGAACUUACCAGAGAUGGUUUGGUGCUCGAAAGAGAACCUGGACACAGGUGCUGCAUGGCUGUCGUCAGCUCGUGUCGUGAGAUGUUGGGUUAAGUCCCGCAACGAGCGCAACCCUUGUCAUUAGUUGCUACGCAAGAGCACUCUAAUGAGACCGCCGGUGACAAACCGGAGGAAGGUGGGGAUGACGUCAAGUCCUCAUGGCCCUUAUGGGUAGGGCUACACACGUCAUACAAUGGGCGGUACAGAGGGUUGCCAACCCGCGAGGGGGAGCCAAUCCCUUAAAACCGCUCGUAGUCCGGAUUGUGGUCUGCAACUCGACUGCAUGAAGUCGGAAUCACUAGUAAUCGCGGAUCAGCUUGCCGCGGUGAAUACGUUCCCGGGUCUUGUACACACCGCCCGUCACACCAUGGAAGUGGGGUUUACCAGAAGUAGUUAGCUUAACCGCAAGGGGGGCGAUUACCACGGUAGGCUUCAUGACUGGGGUGAAGUGGUAACAAGGAGG
Molecule: ribosomal RNA, 849 nt
Filed under: uncultured bacterium
Lineage: Bacteria
Description: bacterial SSU rRNA
Rfam family: Bacterial small subunit ribosomal RNA
Source: RNAcentral